GGCUCAGCCACACAAUUUCAUGGGGUUCAAUAUGGGAAGCUUCUGAGUGCAACAUACUCAUCUACUAAACCAGGAAAACUGAGGCAUAACAUGGAUGUGAUACAGGGAUGCCGUGGGACUGCCAUUGUGAAGGCAGGAAUCAGUCUCCCUUGGAGAGGUGGUCAAGAUUCCCGACACAUCGCUCUCCACUACAUUAUCUACAUGGCUAAUAGACAGCUGCUUGCAAGAAGAUAGAACUUUUACAAUAUGUGAUAAUAAAAAAAAGUGGGCCCUGAAGCUCAUUUUAAUCUUUGCCUCCCACUGAACUGGCCCAUGAAACAAGCAACGCUCAUUUUAAAUUAUAUAUAUAU
This is a long non-coding RNA of Sarcophilus harrisii (Tasmanian devil), 350 nucleotides long. RefSeq lists it as uncharacterized. The record is from RefSeq and is a predicted model, not a curated record. The transcript is spliced from 2 exons. Lineage: Eukaryota; Metazoa; Chordata; Mammalia; Dasyuromorphia; Dasyuridae.